Molecule: ribosomal RNA, 384 nt
Filed under: Triticum aestivum (bread wheat)
Lineage: Eukaryota; Viridiplantae; Streptophyta; Magnoliopsida; Poales; Poaceae
Description: partial small subunit ribosomal RNA
Source: RNAcentral
CCCAAUUGUGGGCUUUGUCCUCUUUGCAAGCGCUUGCAAGAGUCCAUCGAUCACCUCCUCUUCAGAUGCCGGUACACUAUUAGACUUUGGGAAAUGAUAAAAGAUUGGCUCCAGCUCGAAAGCAUCAACACUUCCACUUGGCACUUGGCACGGUCAACCAAAGAGUGGUGGAUCGGGCUCUCGGACUCUACCAUACCGAACAGGACGGCCAUGGCUACCCUCUCUAUGCUCACCUCUUGGACAAUCUGGAAUGAAAGGAACGCUCGCAUCUUCCAACUCAAGAGUGUCCCACCGGCGGUUCUACUAGCUAACAUCAAGAUUGAGACUCAAACUUGGGUCACCGCGGGUGCAAAGAAAUUGGGAUCCAUCAUGCCGCGAGAGUAG